GCCUGGAUGGCUCAGUCGGUGAAGCAUCUGACUUCAGCUCAGGUCAUGAUCUCCUGUUUUGUGGGUUUGAGCCCCAUGUUGGGCU
RNAcentral lists this transfer RNA (85 nucleotides) under Felis catus (domestic cat). It matches the Rfam family "tRNA". From Rfam's summary of the family: Transfer RNA (tRNA) molecules are approximately 80 nucleotides in length. The record is from Rfam by way of RNAcentral. Lineage: Eukaryota; Metazoa; Chordata; Mammalia; Carnivora; Felidae.